ACCCAAAAUUAUUCUACUCCUAUCUAGGAGAGAAUAUCCAAAAAUAUUAUCCUAUCCUAUUAUUCCUCGUGAAAUAAAUGCUCGAGAUAUUUUGGUUACUACCAGUUGCUACAUUAUUUCAGGAGGGUGAGUGCUCUGGAAAAAAAAAGAAGUGAUUAUGAGGAAAUAAAAAGCGGCAAGUGCUCGAAACCUCGAUAGAAAAGAGAAAAAGUGAGACGAGAGGUAAAAAUGGACAAGUGUCCGACAGUAGAAUUAGGGGUACAAGAUACCCACCUAAGAGAAAAGAAAAAUAAAAUAUAGUGCGUCUCAUUCCCCUCAAAAGCCUCAAGUGCAAGAAAGGUAUGUACCCCAUCAAAAGAGCAAAAGUAGAAUUAGACUUAUUGACUUAUUGACUUAUUGAAGAAAAAUAAAAUAUAGUGCGUCACCAUUAUUUUCACCAUUCAUUCGCCACACAUAUCUUGAUUUGACUUAUUGACUUGUUCUUCUGGAUCCAUGGUUUGACUAUGCAAUAAGUGUCUUGUAAGUAUGUAUUAGCUGUCUCCCACCUAUGAGCUCCAGAUAUCAAAACCUUAUUAGAGUAGGGUGAGAAAGAAGGCAAUACCACUAUGCCUCA
Molecule: long non-coding RNA, 613 nt
Filed under: Sorghum bicolor (sorghum)
Lineage: Eukaryota; Viridiplantae; Streptophyta; Magnoliopsida; Poales; Poaceae
Description: long non-coding RNA (SBIC_LNC008844)
Source: RNAcentral